GAUUGAGCCUUAGUAAGGAAACCUACUAAGUGAUGACUUUCAAAUUCAGAGAAACCCCGGAAUUAAGAAAAAGGGCAAUCCUGAGCCAAAUCCUGUUUUCCACAAACAAAGGUUCAGAAAACAAGGAUAGGUGCAGAGACUCGACGGAAGCUGUUCUAACAAAUGGAGGUGGCCUCGUUGGUAGUUGGUAGAGAACUCUUUCCAUCGAAAAUUCAGAAAGGAUGAAAGAUAUACAUACGUAUUGAAUACUAUAUCAAAAUCAAAUGAUUAAUGCCGACCCAAAUGAGUCUAUAUUUUUUCUAUAAAAAACGGAAGAAUUGGUGUGAUUCGAUUCUUUCUUCAAUGUGGAAUCGAAUAUUCAUUGAUCAAAAGAUUCACUCCAUAGUCUGUAGAUCCUUUUUUCAAGAACCGGAUUAAUCGGACGAGAAUAAAGAUAGAGUCCCGUUCUACAUGUCAAUGCCGGCAACAAUGAAAUUUUUAGUAAGAGGAAAAUCCGUCGACUUUAAAAAUCGU
This 513-nucleotide non-coding RNA is filed under the name Cynanchum somaliense. RNAcentral's name for it is "partial tRNA-Leu". It matches the Rfam family "Group I catalytic intron". From Rfam's summary of the family: Group I catalytic introns are large self-splicing ribozymes. They catalyse their own excision from mRNA, tRNA and rRNA precursors in a wide range of organisms. The core secondary structure consists of 9 paired regions (P1-P9). The record is from RNAcentral. Lineage: Eukaryota; Viridiplantae; Streptophyta; Magnoliopsida; Gentianales; Apocynaceae.